GAUAAACGCUGGCGGCGUGCCUAAUACAUGCAAGUCGAACGGAGGUUUUGUAGCAAUACGGAACCUUAGUGGCGAAUGGGUGAGUAACGCGUUGGUGACCUGCCCCGAAGUGAGGGAUAACAGUUCGAAAGGACUGCUAAUACCACAUGUGGUCAUUGGGUUUAGAAACUGAUGUCUAAAGCAGCAAUGCGCUUCGGGAGGGACCUGCGUCCCAUCAGCUCGUUGGUAGGGUAACGGCCUACCAAGGCUACGACGGGUAGGGGGCCUGAGAGGGUCGGCCCCCCACACUGGCACUGAAACACGGGCCAGACACCUACGGGUGGCUG
RNAcentral lists this ribosomal RNA (326 nucleotides) under uncultured Chloroflexota bacterium. RNAcentral describes it as "bacterial SSU rRNA". It matches the Rfam family "Bacterial small subunit ribosomal RNA", at positions 28 to 351 of the family's 1533-position model. Lineage: Bacteria; Bacillati; Chloroflexota. The record is from RNAcentral.